RNAcentral lists this ribosomal RNA (1081 nucleotides) under Chryseobacterium sp. Its description in RNAcentral is "bacterial SSU rRNA". It matches the Rfam family "Bacterial small subunit ribosomal RNA", at positions 341 to 1427 of the family's 1533-position model. Lineage: Bacteria; Pseudomonadati; Bacteroidota; Flavobacteriia; Flavobacteriales; Weeksellaceae. The record is from RNAcentral.
ACGGGAGGCAGCAGUGAGGAAUAUUGGACAAUGGGUGCAAGCCUGAUCCAGCCAUCCCGCGUGAAGGACGACGGCCCUAUGGGUUGUAAACUUCUUUUGUACAGGGAUAAACCUAGAUACGUGUAUCUAGCUGAAGGUACUGUACGAAUAAGCACCGGCUAACUCCGUGCCAGCAGCCGCGGUAAUACGGAGGGUGCAAGCGUUAUCCGGAUUUAUUGGGUUUAAAGGGUCCGUAGGCGGAUCAGUAAGUCAGUGGUGAAAUCUCAUAGCUUAACUAUGAAACUGCCAUUGAUACUGCUGGUCUUGAGUAAGGUAGAAGUAGCUGGAAUAAGUAGUGUAGCGGUGAAAUGCAUAGAUAUUACUUAGAACACCAAUUGCGAAGGCAGGUUACUAUGUCUUAACUGACGCUGAUGGACGAAAGCGUGGGGAGCGAACAGGAUUAGAUACCCUGGUAGUCCACGCUGUAAACGAUGCUAACUCGUUUUUGGGUUUUCGGAUUCAGAGACUAAGCGAAAGUGAUAAGUUAGCCACCUGGGGAGUACGAACGCAAGUUUGAAACUCAAAGGAAUUGACGGGGGCCCGCACAAGCGGUGGAUUAUGUGGUUUAAUUCGAUGAUACGCGAGGAACCUUACCAAGGCUUAAAUGGGAAUUGAUCGGUUUAGAAAUAGACCUUCCUUCGGGCAAUUUUCAAGGUGCUGCAUGGUUGUCGUCAGCUCGUGCCGUGAGGUGUUAGGUUAAGUCCUGCAACGAGCGCAACCCCUGUCACUAGUUGCCAUCAUUAAGUUGGGGACUCUAGUGAGACUGCCUACGCAAGUAGAGAGGAAGGUGGGGAUGACGUCAAAUCAUCACGGCCCUUACGCCUUGGGCCACACACGUAAUACAAUGGCCGGUACAGAGGGCAGCUACACAGCGAUGUGAUGCAAAUCUCGAAAGCCGGUCUCAGUUCGGAUUGGAGUCUGCAACUCGACUCUAUGAAGCUGGAAUCGCUAGUAAUCGCGCAUCAGCCAUGGCGCGGUGAAUACGUUCCCGGGCCUUGUACACACCGCCCGUCAAGCCAUGGAAGUCUGGGGUACCUGAAGU